CAUAUAACAUAUUUUUAGCUUUCUUUGCAAGGAAGUAUUAGCAAUGAAAACAGUUUCUGUUUUUUUGUAUUGUUUCUUUUAUUUUAGUUUCGAGGAAUUUUCUUAUGCUUUUUGCACGUUGUUGACGACUUUUAAUGAUUUUCCUCACCCUACCCCUGRCAGUGUCACAUUUUUGCAGCUCUCAGUCAGAGGACAUUUCAGACAUAUUGUAUCAAAUCGCGACCAUUCUGUGGAAUAACGGUAUGCAAAUGCUGUACAGAAGUCACGAUUUAAGCUUCCUAUCUGUUGAAAUAACUUUAUAAAUCUCUUUGGAUUGUAGAAACGAAACAAGUUUCCCUCAUUAGCUUAACGGACCUCUGGCGCCAGGCUGCAUAYAUUUUUGUGAAUACACUGUUUUAUAUAGCCAAAAAGAAGACCAAUUAGAUUGCAGGGACCGCAAUUUGACAGUCGCCAUGGUUGCUUUGGACACUAARGAUAUUAUCAUUAUUUGCUCUAUCUUGUUCUCGAUGUUGGUCGUUGGUUGGUGUGUGGUGCUCUUCAAAUUUCGUGGACCCUGUUUUCCAGGCGAUCAAUUUUUGAAACCACUGCAAAAACUGACUGCCGACCAGGAAGAUAAAUUGAACAGUGAACCAAAUGUUAUUGUCUUGCAAGAAGCAGCUUGAAAGAUGACCUUUAGAGCGUUUGUAAAACGUAGCGAAUGUAGUCUGACACAAAGUGGUUGAUUGACAACUGAACAAUAAGUAUAGGGCGGCAAUCGGACUGGUUACUUUUCAUACUACAUUUUAUAGUGGUUUAGGCUGGGAUACCAGUAGGCAAUCAGCUUGCUGCUCCAACUGACUUACAUWAUGCUAUAUGACUGACUAUCAAUUAUAAUUGGUUCACAAGUAAGUUUGAAUCGUUUCCAAUAAGUUUCUGAAUAGGCGA
Molecule: long non-coding RNA, 924 nt
Organism: Exaiptasia diaphana
Lineage: Eukaryota; Metazoa; Cnidaria; Anthozoa; Actiniaria; Aiptasiidae
Exons: 3
Source: RefSeq, a predicted model, not a curated record